Molecule: ribosomal RNA, 253 nt
Filed under: uncultured bacterium
Lineage: Bacteria
Description: partial 16S ribosomal RNA
Rfam family: Bacterial small subunit ribosomal RNA
Source: RNAcentral
UACGUAGGCAGCAAGCGUUGUUCGGAAUUACUGGGCGUAAAGAGUGUGUAGGCGGUGCUCCAAGUCUGGUGUGAAAUCUCCCGGCUCAACUGGGAGGGUGCGCUAGAAACUGGAAUGCUAGAGGAUGGGAGAGGUAAGCGGAAUUCCUGGUGUAGCGGUGAAAUGCGUAGAUAUCAGGAAGAACACCCGUGGCUAAGGCGGCUCUCUAGUACGGUACUGACGCUGAGACGCGAAAGCGUGGGGAGCGAACAGG